UACAGAGGGUGCAAGCGUUAAUCGGAAUCACUGGGCUUAAAGCGUGUGUAGGCGGGUCGUUAAGUGUCUUGUGAAAUCCCACCGCUCAACGGUGGAACUGCUGGGCAUACUGGCGAUCUUGAGCCACCUAGGGGCAGACGGAACAAGCGGUGGAGCGGUGAAAUGCGUAGAUAUCGCUUGGAACGCCGACGGUGAAAACAGUCUGCUGGGGGUGUGCUGACGCUGAGACACGAAAGCCAGGGGAGCGAACAGG
RNAcentral lists this ribosomal RNA (253 nucleotides) under uncultured bacterium. Its description in RNAcentral is "partial 16S ribosomal RNA". It matches the Rfam family "Bacterial small subunit ribosomal RNA", at positions 524 to 776 of the family's 1533-position model. The record is from RNAcentral.